UGGGGGAUAUUGCACAAUGGGCGAAAGCCUGAUGCAGCGACGCCGCGUGGGGGAUGAAGGCCUUCGGGUUGUAAACUUCUUUUGCUCUGAACAAGGCGCACCAUGGGGUGUGUUGAGUGGAGGGGUUGAUUAGCGCCGGCUAACUACGUGCCAGCAGCCGCGGUAAUACGUAGGGCGCGAGCGUUGUCCGGAAUUAUUGGGCGUAAAGGGCUUGUAGGUGGCUGGUUGCGUCUGUCGUGAAAGCUCAUGGCUUAACUGUGGGUUUGCGGUGGGUACGGGCUGGCUUGAGUGCAGUAGGGGAGGCUGGAAUUCCUGGUGUAGCGGUGGAAUGCGCAGAUAUCAGGAGGAAUACCGGUGGCGAAGGCGGGUCUCUGGGCUGUUACUGACACUGAGGAGCGAAAGCAUGGGGAGCGAACAGG
This 419-nucleotide ribosomal RNA is filed under the name bacterium. Its description in RNAcentral is "partial 16S ribosomal RNA". It matches the Rfam family "Bacterial small subunit ribosomal RNA", at positions 355 to 776 of the family's 1533-position model. The record is from RNAcentral.